CGUUGCGUCGCCGCUCCCGGCCCUCUACGGCGCCGGCGAAAUAGGGCUUAGGUUCGCCUCGCCACCCCCUACAACCUGUGCCUGUUCGAUUUGACCCUCGAGGUCCCUCUCGCUCGCCCACGACCCUACCAUGACGUCGACUCCGCCUGAGUUCCGGCCGAUGUCGGUCGCCUCUAGCGCUGCCACACGCCGCUGCUCGCCUACACGGACUCCCCAAGGUCUCCUCCACCGACUUCCCUUCACCGCGAUGCCGCCAUGUACCUGCGCGCACCCCCACGGCUAACCCUAACCCAUCCUGGCUAGGUCACCGAUGCGGCUCCCGCGUACCUGAGCCUCCGUGUCGCUGUCUAGGUCGCCGAUGCGGCUCUGUCGCUGGCGCGAUCCUGGCGCCGCCGCGCCUCCUUCUGCUCCACUACGUCAUCUACGACCUCUUCCUCGACCCUCGGGCUCCUGCUCCUCUGUCUCGAGAUCAUGGGCCUAAUGCAGAGCAAGUUCGAGGGCGAAUCUAUCAUCGUCAUGUACGCCUUCGCGCUCCCCGUUGAGGAAACCGAGACCAGGGUCAACGUCCAGGCAGACGCAUACGAAUACAUGGUCGAGUACUCCACCAUCAACAAGCAGUGAUUGCAGGUGAGGAAGCUGGGGUCGCAGGGUGUCUCCAGGGUCGAGAUGUAGAAGAGUGAGAUGCUGCAGGAGGCCAACAUCUCCAACUUCAAGUCACAAUUGCAAAGCUCACAGGUAACUAUUGUUGUCGCUGCUGUACCUAAGGGACUACCGCUGGCUGUAACACUUAUUUCUGGGAAGCCUUGGCGCAGUGGUAAGAGCUGCUGCCUUGUGACCAGGAGGUCACGGGUUCAAGUCAUGGAAACAGCCUCUUGCAAAAAUUGCAAGGAAAGGCUGCGUACAAUGACCCAAUGUGGUCCGACCCCUCCCCGGACCCCGAACAAAGCGGGAGCUUCAUGCACUGGGCUGCCCUUUUUUAUCUGGAUACUACCAUGAAUAAUGUACACACUCAUUCCUGAUCAGCUUCUAGGUUUCUGACAUUGACUUGCAGAUUACAGAAGCAGAAUUGGACAAUAUAAAUGCAGGAAUUGCGAGAAAUAUGGAGAAAGAAAUAUGGGAAAAGGAACCUGGAGAUGUGAAGUCAUGCAAGAAGAGAAGAAUUAGUAACCCCGCAUGGUACUAUGCUGAAGGCUGGGAUCAACUGAAGGUGAUGCUGAUCACAUUGUGAAGGUGUCUGAAUAGGAAACAUAGUGAUGAUGUUGACAGAGUGUACAUAGUGAGACAUAGUGAUAUACUGUGCCGUGUGUGCAACUGAUAUUGUAUGAUAAUUGCAGGAUAAAGUGCACUGGAUAUAUUAAUGUGUU
Lolium perenne is the source of this 1364-nucleotide long non-coding RNA. RefSeq lists it as uncharacterized. NCBI's taxonomy places the organism in Eukaryota, Viridiplantae, Streptophyta, Magnoliopsida, Poales, Poaceae. The record is from RefSeq and is a predicted model, not a curated record.